GGGGAUACACUUAGAGUCCCCAGCGUGAGAGUGUUAAUAGUGGAGGUCUUUGGCCGGACCUCACGGUUAGUGAAUC
Molecule: regulatory RNA element, 76 nt
Organism: Prevotella sp. CAG:487
Lineage: Bacteria; Pseudomonadati; Bacteroidota; Bacteroidia; Bacteroidales; Prevotellaceae
Rfam family: L13-Bacteroidia ribosomal protein leader
Source: Rfam